GUGGGGAAUUUUGGACAAUGGGCGCAAGCCUGAUCCAGCAAUGCCGCGUGCAGGAAGAAGGCCUUCGGGUUGUAAACUGCUUUUGUACGGAACGAAACGGUCCUGGUUAAUACCUGGGGCUAAUGACGGUACCGUAAGAAUAAGCACCGGCUAACUACGUGCCAGCAGCCGCGGUAAUACGUAGGGUGCGAGCGUUAAUCGGAAUUACUGGGCGUAAAGCGUGCGCAGGCGGUGCUGUAAGACGGGCGUGAAAUCCCCGGGCUCAACCUGGGAAUUGCGCUUGUGACUGCAGUGCUGGAGUACGGCAGAGGGGGAUGGAAUUCCGCGUGUAGCAGUGAAAUGCGUAGAUAUGCGGAGGAACACCGAUGGCGAAGGCAGUCCCCUGGGCCUGUACUGACGCUCAUGCACGAAAGCGUGGGGAGCAAACAGGAUUAGAAACCCUUGUAGUCC
RNAcentral lists this ribosomal RNA (450 nucleotides) under uncultured bacterium. RNAcentral describes it as "partial 16S ribosomal RNA". It matches the Rfam family "Bacterial small subunit ribosomal RNA", at positions 354 to 796 of the family's 1533-position model. The record is from RNAcentral.